GGAUGUGAGGGUGAUCUGGCUGUGACAUCUGUCACCCAUUGAUCACCAGGGUUGAUUGGGCUGAUCUGGCUGCCUGGGAGGUUGUUCCCUUCUUCCCUCACUGCUCCAUGUGUCUCCCUCCCGAAGCUGCCAGCUCAGUCAAAGAGCAUGGCCUUCCCCGAAUAGAGAUGGACCAGUCUUCAGUUGAGGGUAUACAAGUAGCUGCAUUCCCCUGCUAAAACCUCCAAACAAGCUUUCAAGGUCUAUUUGUAGGAGAACAUAGUCAAGCUUCCAAGACUGCAGACACAUCCAAAUGAGGCUCUGCAUGUGACAGUCUGCCUUUUUUU
Molecule: small nuclear RNA, 326 nt
Filed under: Erinaceus europaeus (western European hedgehog)
Lineage: Eukaryota; Metazoa; Chordata; Mammalia; Eulipotyphla; Erinaceidae
Description: 7SK RNA (ENSEEUG00000019032.1)
Rfam family: 7SK RNA
About the family: 7SK was discovered as an abundant small nuclear RNA in the mid-70s but a possible function has only recently been suggested. Two independent studies have found that 7SK RNA binds the CDK9/cyclin T complex (known as elongation factor P-TEFb).
Source: Rfam by way of RNAcentral